AGGCCGUGAUAGGGACACUUGCGUAAUAGCUCCUUGAACCUUUCCCAUGUUUCAUAUAAGGAUUCCCCGUCCUCUUGUGAGUAUGUAUUAAUUUCAGCCAUUAAUUU
Molecule: small nucleolar RNA, 107 nt
Filed under: Helianthus annuus (common sunflower)
Lineage: Eukaryota; Viridiplantae; Streptophyta; Magnoliopsida; Asterales; Asteraceae
Description: sRNA HanXRQr2_Chr03g0106041
Rfam family: Plant small nucleolar RNA R71
About the family: R71 is a member of the C/D box family of snoRNAs containing the C (UGAUGA) and D (CUGA) box motifs. Multiple nearly identical copies of this snoRNA have been identified in Arabidopsis, and it is thought to function as a 2'-O-ribose methylation guide for 18S ribosomal RNA.
Source: Rfam by way of RNAcentral